Molecule: unclassified non-coding RNA, 218 nt
Filed under: Hevea brasiliensis (rubber tree)
Lineage: Eukaryota; Viridiplantae; Streptophyta; Magnoliopsida; Malpighiales; Euphorbiaceae
Source: RNAcentral
GAAUUAGCAGCUUCGUUAAAUGUAUGAGAGAUGAGCGACAGUCUGCAUGCUUCCUGAGGACUAGUAAAAGAUAGGACGUGAGCCACACAGCCUUCAGUUUCAGGUAAUUUCGACAUUUCUCUUGUUCCUCCACUAGCGUACUUUGUACUUCUCUGCACUAAUGAAAGGUAUAGAUGUCAGACCCUGCUUUAAGAGUAUGUUUGGGAACGGAGGAAAGU